Molecule: ribosomal RNA, 505 nt
Filed under: uncultured bacterium
Lineage: Bacteria
Description: partial 16S ribosomal RNA
Rfam family: Bacterial small subunit ribosomal RNA
Source: RNAcentral
AGUGAACGCUGGCGGUAGGCCUAACACAUGCAAGUCGAACGGCAGCACAGAGGAGCUUGCUCCUUGGGUGGCGAGUGGCGGACGGGUGAGGAAUACAUCGGAAUCUACUCUGUCGUGGGGGAUAACGUAGGGAAACUUACGCUAAUACCGCAUACGACCUACGGGUGAAAGCAGGGGACCUUCGGGCCUUGCGCGAUUGAAUGAGCCGAUGUCGGAUUAGCUAGUUGGCGGGGUAAAGGCCCACCAAGGCGACGAUCCGUAGCUGGUCUGAGAGGAUGAUCAGCCACACUGGAACUGAGACACGGUCCAGACUCCUACGGGAGGCAGCAGUGGGGAAUAUUGGACAAUGGGCGCAAGCCUGAUCCAGCCAUACCGCGUGGGUGAAGAAGGCCUUCGGGUUGUAAAGGCCUUUUGUUGGGAAAGAAAUCCAGCUGCUAAUACCCGGUUGGGAUGACGGUACCCAAAGAAUAAGCACCGGCUAACUUCGUGCCAGCCGCCGCGGUAA